RNAcentral lists this ribosomal RNA (254 nucleotides) under uncultured bacterium. Its description in RNAcentral is "partial 16S ribosomal RNA". It matches the Rfam family "Bacterial small subunit ribosomal RNA", at positions 524 to 776 of the family's 1533-position model. The record is from RNAcentral.
UACGAAGGGGGCUAGCGUUGCUCGGAAUCACUGGGCGUAAAGGGUGCGUAGGCGGGUUUUUAAGUCAGAGGUGAAAUCCUGGAGCUCAACUCCAGAACUGCCUUUGAUACUGAAAGUCUUUGAGUAUGGGAGAGGUGAGUGGAACUGCGAGUGUAGAGGUGAAAUUCGUAGAUAUUCGCAAGAACACCAGUGGCGAAGGCGGCUCACUGGCCCAUUACUGACGCUGAGGCACGAAAGCGUGGGGAGCAAACAGG